RNAcentral lists this long non-coding RNA (328 nucleotides) under Gallus gallus (chicken). The record is from RNAcentral. Lineage: Eukaryota; Metazoa; Chordata; Aves; Galliformes; Phasianidae.
CAUGGAAGACUUGGGUUGGGUUGGAGAGGUCUUUAUGGAUCGUACAGCCAUGGAAUGGCUGGGUUGGAAGGGUCCUGGAAGGUCACAGAGCCAUGGAAGACUUGGGUUGGGUUGGAGAGGUCUUUAUGGAUCGUAGAGCCAUGGAAUGGCUGGGUUGGAAGGGUCCUGGAAGGUCACAGAGCCAUGGAAAACUCAGGGUUGUUUGUAGGGGUCCUUAAAGGCCAGAGAGCCAUGGGAUGGCUGGGUUGGAAGGGUCCUGGAAGGUCACAGAGCCAUGGAAGACGCUCAGCCUGGAGCUGCAGCGGUGCCGACCACACAUUCGCAUCCC